UAGAGUGCGUCGGGGCAGAAGGAAUUCUGGUGUAGCGGUGAAAUGCGUAGAUAUCAGGAAGAACACCGGUGGCGAAAGCGUUCUGCUAGGCCGCAACUGACACUGAGGGACGAAAGCUAGGGGAGCGAAUGGGAUUAGAUACCCCAGUAGUCCUAGCCGUAAACGAUGGAUACUAGGUGUGGCUUGUAUCGACCCGAGCCGUACCGUAGCUAACGCGUUAAGUAUCCCGCCUGGGGAGUACGCACGCAAGUGUGAAACUCAAAGGAAUUGACGGGGGCCCGCACAAGCGGUGGAGUAUGUGGUUUAAUUCGAUGCAACGCGAAGAACCUUACCAAGACUUGACAUCCUGCGAAUCUCGGUGAAAGCUGAGAGUGCCUUAGGGAGCGCAGAGACAGGUGGUGCAUGGCUGUCGUCAGCUCGUGUCGUGAGAUGUUGGGUUAAGUCCCGCAACGAGCGCAACCCUCGUUUUUAGUUGCCAGCAUUAAGUAGGGCACUCUAGAGAGACUGCCGGUGACAAACCGGAGGAAGGUGAGGAUGACGUCAAGUCAGCAUGCCCCUUACGUCUUGGGCUACACACGUACUACAAUGCUACGGACAAAGGGCAGCAAGCUAGUGAUAGCAAGCGAAUCUCAUAAACCGUAGCUCAGUUCAGAUCGAAGGCUGCAACUCGCCUUCGUGAAGGAGGAAUCGCUAGUAAUUGCAGGUCAGCAUACUGCAGUGAAUUCGUUCCCGGGCCUUGUACACACCGCCCGUCACACCAUGGAAGUUGGUCACGCCCGAAGUCAUUACCCCAACCUUUGGGAGGGGGAUGCCUAAGGUAGGACUGGUGACUGGGGUGAAGUCGUAACAAGGUAGCCGUACCGGAAGGUGCGGCUGGAUCACCUCCUU
RNAcentral lists this ribosomal RNA (888 nucleotides) under bacterium enrichment culture clone 2f11. RNAcentral describes it as "bacterial SSU rRNA". It matches the Rfam family "Bacterial small subunit ribosomal RNA", at positions 642 to 1532 of the family's 1533-position model. The record is from RNAcentral.